This 1047-nucleotide non-coding RNA is filed under the name Streptomyces sp. WM6378. RNAcentral describes it as "bacterial LSU rRNA". It matches the Rfam family "Bacterial large subunit ribosomal RNA", at positions 590 to 1523 of the family's 2925-position model. Lineage: Bacteria; Bacillati; Actinomycetota; Actinomycetes; Kitasatosporales; Streptomycetaceae. The record is from RNAcentral.
GUCGUGACUGCGUGCCUUUUGAAGAAUGAGCCUGCGAGUUAGCGGUGUGUAGCGAGGUUAACCCGUGUGGGGAAGCCGUAGCGAAAGCGAGUCCGAACAGGGCGUUUGAGUUGCACGCUCUAGACCCGAAGCGGAGUGAUCUAGCCAUGGGCAGGUUGAAGCGGCUGUAAGAGGUCGUGGAGGACCGAACCCACCAGGGUUGAAAACCUGGGGGAUGACCUGUGGUUAGGGGUGAAAGGCCAAUCAAACUCCGUGAUAGCUGGUUCUCCCCGAAAUGCAUUUAGGUGCAGCGUCGUGUGUUUCUUGCCGGAGGUAGAGCACUGGAUAGGCGAUGGGCCCUACCGGGUUACUGACCUUAGCCAAACUCCGAAUGCCGGUAAGUGAGAGCGCGGCAGUGAGACUGUGGGGGAUAAGCUCCAUGGUCGAGAGGGAAACAGCCCAGAGCAUCGACUAAGGCCCCUAAGCGUACGCUAAGUGGGAAAGGAUGUGGAGUCGCAGAGACAACCAGGAGGUUGGCUUAGAAGCAGCCACCCUUGAAAGAGUGCGUAAUAGCUCACUGGUCAAGUGAUUCCGCGCCGACAAUGUAGCGGGGCUCAAGCGUACCGCCGAAGUCGUGUCAUUCCAGCAUGUACCCCCAACGGGGGCUGGGAUGGGUAGGGGAGCGUCGUGUGCCGGGUGAAGCUGCAGCGGAAGCUAGUGGUGGACGGUUCACGAGUGAGAAUGCAGGCAUGAGUAGCGAUACACACGUGAGAAACGUGUGCGCCGAUUGACUAAGGGUUCCUGGGUCAAGCUGAUCUGCCCAGGGUAAGUCGGGACCUAAGGCGAGGCCGACAGGCGUAGUCGAUGGACAACCGGUUGAUAUUCCGGUACCCGCUUUGAAACGCCCAGUAUCGAAUCAGGCGAUGCUAAGCCCGUGAAGCCGUUCCGGACCCUUCGGGGAAUGGAAAGUGGUGGAGCCGGUGACCCAGACUUGUAGUAGGUAAGCGAUGGGGUGACGCAGGAAGGUAGUCCAGCCCGGGCGGUGGUUGUCCCGGGGUAAGGGUGUAG